UAUCAGACUUUGGAAAACCUGGUAUUACUGGGUCAAGAUCAUCAUUUCCUGUUGCAUUAAACUUAAAUUCAACAGAACUGAUGAACUUGACCCAGUGGUACCAGGUUUCCCAAAGUCUAAUA
This 122-nucleotide microRNA precursor is filed under the name Podarcis lilfordi (Lilford's wall lizard). Lineage: Eukaryota; Metazoa; Chordata; Lepidosauria; Squamata; Lacertidae. The record is from RNAcentral.